AACGAACGCUGGCGGCAUGCCUAACACAUGCAAGUCGAACGAGACCUUCGGGUCUAGUGGCGCACGGGUGCGUAACGCGUGGGAAUCUGCCCUUCGGUUCGGAAUAACUCAGGGAAACUUGAGCUAAUACCGGAUAAUGACGUAAGUCCAAAGAUUUAUCGCCGAAGGAUGAGCCCGCGUAGGAUUAGCUUGUUGGUGGGGUAAUGGCCCACCAAGGCGACGAUCCUUAGCUGGUCUGAGAGGAUGAUCAGCCACACUGGGACUGAGACACGGCCCAGACUCCUACGGGAGGCAGCAGUGGGGAAUAUUGGACAAUGGGCGAAAGCCUGAUCCAGCAAUGCCGCGUGAGUGAUGAAGGCCUUAGGGUUGUAAAGACUCUUUUACCCGGGUAUGAUAAUGACAGUACCGGGAGAAUAAGCUCCGGCUAACUCCGUG
Molecule: ribosomal RNA, 435 nt
Filed under: uncultured bacterium
Lineage: Bacteria
Description: bacterial SSU rRNA
Rfam family: Bacterial small subunit ribosomal RNA
Source: RNAcentral